AGCAGCCGCGGUAAUUCCAGCUCCAAUAGCGUAUAUUAAAGUUGUUGCAGUUAAAAAGCUCGUAGUUGAAUUUCGGGGUUAGUAGGUUGGUCAUGCCUCUGGUAUGUACUGGUCUCACUGAUUCCUCCUUCCUGAUGAACCUUAAUGCCAUUAAUUUGGUGUUUUGGGGAAUUUGGACUGUUACUUUGAAAAAAUUAGAGUGUUUAAAGCAAGCUAACGCUUGAAUACAUUAGCAUGGAAUAAUGAAUUAGGACGUUCGAUCCUAUUUUGUUGGUUUCUAGGAUUGACGUAAUGAUUAAUAGGGAUAGUUGGGGGCAUUAGUAUUCAAUUGUCAGAGGUGAAAUUCUUGGAUUUAUUGAAGACUAACUACUGCGAAAGCAUUUGCCAAGGAUGUUUUCAUUAAUCAAGAACGAAAGUUAGGGGAUCGAAGACGAUCAGAUACCGUCGUAGUCUUAACCAUAAACUAUGCCGACUAGGGAUCGGAUGAUGUUAAUUUUUUAAUGACUCA
Molecule: ribosomal RNA, 508 nt
Filed under: uncultured Glomus
Lineage: Eukaryota; Fungi; Glomeromycota; Glomeromycetes; Glomerales; Glomeraceae
Description: SSU rRNA
Rfam family: Eukaryotic small subunit ribosomal RNA
Source: RNAcentral